RNAcentral lists this ribosomal RNA (461 nucleotides) under uncultured bacterium. Its description in RNAcentral is "bacterial SSU rRNA". It matches the Rfam family "Bacterial small subunit ribosomal RNA", at positions 28 to 532 of the family's 1533-position model. The record is from RNAcentral.
GAUAAACGCUGGCGGCGUGCCUAACACAUGCAAGUCGAACGAUCCCGCAAGGGAGAGUGGCGGAAGGGUGAGUAACACGUGGGAAUCUACCUCCUCGCAGGGAACAACCUCUCGAAAGAGAGGCUAAUACCCAAAAGGGUCAGAAAUGAUCAGAGUCGAAAGGCGUGAGGAGAGGAGCCCGCGGCCCAUCAGCUAGUUGGUGAGGUAAUGGCUUACCAAGGCUACGACGGGUAGGGGAUCUGAGAGGAUGUCCCCCACACUGGAACUGAAACACGGUCCAGACGCCUACGGGUGGCAGCAGUGAGGAAUAUUGGACAAUGGGCGAAAAGCCCGAUCCAGCAAACGCCGCGUGGAGGAUGAAGGCCUUCGGGUCGUAAAACUUCUUUAGAGGGAGACGAGAAAGGACGGUAUCCCUAGAAUAAGACGACGGCGAAAACUAACGUGCCAAGCAGACCGUCGGU